CCGGAGCGCAGCAUGACUCUGAGCAGCUCCGCGUCUCCCAGACGCUCCAGCCAAGCCGUGAACUCUGCUACCGCUCCAGGAAUCUGGACCACGUAUGAGAGUCUUCUGACUCCGUGGUCAGCCACCAGGUUCCAGAUGCUAGCAUGAUGCCGACCAGACUUCCCUGGACAGACAACCCCACCAAUCCGUCCUGGAGCUCCGCUUCCCCACUAGGGAAAGAGAAAGACAGGCUGGGAGUAUGGAUCGACCUGUGAACGCCUAUGUUCAGCCGGGAAGCAAUUACAGAAGCCAGACCUUCAACCUUCUGCAUCCCACAAUGACCCUGGGUCCAUACUCCCAGAGGGAUAAAGAAUAGGAAAGUUAGCAGGAGCGGGGAUGGGAUGCAGAGUUCUGGUGGUGGGAAUUGUGUGGAGUUGUACUCCUCUUAUCCUAUGGUUUUGUCAAUGUUUCCUAUAUAUA
This is a long non-coding RNA of Erinaceus europaeus (western European hedgehog), 459 nucleotides long. RefSeq lists it as uncharacterized. NCBI's taxonomy places the organism in Eukaryota, Metazoa, Chordata, Mammalia, Eulipotyphla, Erinaceidae. The transcript has 2 exons. The record is from RefSeq and is a predicted model, not a curated record.